UCUAUGGCGAGUUUGAUCCUGGCUCAGGACGAACGCUGGCAGCGUGCCUAAUGAAUGCGAGUCGUGCGAGAACCGGACGAAGGAUUCCUUCGGGAUGAUUUGGUCCGGGGAGAGCGGCAAACAGGUGAGUAACACGUGGGUAACCUGCCCUUCAGACAGGGAUAACCCGCCGAAAGGCGGACUAAUACCUGAUGGUGAGAUACCGACAUAAGUUGGCUUCUCUAAAGGCUCCGGCGCUGAAGGAUGGGCCCGCGGCUGAUUAGCUAGUUGGUGAGAUAACAGCUCACCAAGGCAACAAUCGGUAGCCGGUCUAAGAGGACGGUCGGCCACACUGGGACUGAGACAUGGUCCAGACUCCUACGGGAGUUAGCAUCAGGGAAUCUUGCGCAAUGGGCGAAA
Molecule: ribosomal RNA, 399 nt
Filed under: Actinomycetes bacterium
Lineage: Bacteria; Bacillati; Actinomycetota; Actinomycetes
Description: bacterial SSU rRNA
Rfam family: Bacterial small subunit ribosomal RNA
Source: RNAcentral